UCAUUUGAGUCCACCUGUGUAGGUUUGGACCCGAGGAACCGAGGACCCCAGCAGUGAGUUCAGCUGCUUCGGUGUUGUCAGAGUCAGCCAGAGGUGAGUGGAACUAAACUUAAUCUUUUAAAUUAAAUGUUUUAUCAUGUUUCAUGCAUCAUGAUUAUGCGAUAGGAUGAUUGCAUUAGUGUUCACGAAUAUGCUGCAUUGCAUCGAUUGUUGUUGAUGUGGGUGAAUGUUGGAUGACCCAAUUAGUCCAAGACAGGAAGACCAGGACCCCAUGCUACGGCCUGGCACUAUGUAAGGAAAGACCAGGACCCCAUUCUACGGCCUGGCACGGUUAUGAUACUCGAAGACCAGGAGCCCAGAGGAGGCCCUGGGGAAAUGGUAAGUAAUGUAUGUUAUGACAGGAAGACCAGGACCCCAUGCUACGGCCUGGCACUAUGUUAACUUGGACUAAUUGGUGACAAGUUCACCCAACCCUUAUGUGAAUUGUCUGUGUUAUGAUGCAUUUCAUUGGAGCAUAGUAUUAAAAUGUUUUAUAGUUCUUCUCACUGGGCUGUUAGCUCACCCCUCUCCCUUUACCCCCAGGCUUGCAGGUACAGUAUAGAGCGGGAGUCCGGAUAGAGUAAAGAAGUCAUGUUUAUGUAAUAGCUAGCAAUGGACAUGAUCAAAUUGUAAUGUAAUGUCUUAAGUACAGUAUAGUUAUGUAAUGAUGUUUAUGGAUGAUUAGAGGUGUGCUUGACCAUAGAUGUUGUAAUCCCUUUUAAUGCAUGAUCUUGGUUAUUUUAUGCCAUUUAUGUAAACCAACUCAGCAUAUGUUGUGUCACCCAAUGGGGACACUGAUGAGAUCUCACAGAGGGAUCAAUGUUAUGUUAAAGUUUAUGCACAUGUUGAGUUUGGUUGAUGUCCAUGAAAAGAAAAGUUUUAAUUUUUAGGUAUAUUGUUGAUCAUGUACGGGAUUAAGCAGGGUUACAGGAUGCAUGUUAGGCUUGCUACAG
RNAcentral lists this long non-coding RNA (992 nucleotides) under Manihot esculenta (cassava). Its description in RNAcentral is "long non-coding RNA (MESC_LNC011910)". Lineage: Eukaryota; Viridiplantae; Streptophyta; Magnoliopsida; Malpighiales; Euphorbiaceae. The record is from RNAcentral.